GCUGGGUUGGCUCAGUAGAUAGAGCAUAAGACGCUUAAUCUCAGGGACGUGAGUUCGAGACCCACAUCACCCAAAA
This is a non-coding RNA of Podarcis lilfordi (Lilford's wall lizard), 76 nucleotides long. The record is from the annotation of a GenBank genome assembly. NCBI's taxonomy places the organism in Eukaryota, Metazoa, Chordata, Lepidosauria, Squamata, Lacertidae.